Molecule: non-coding RNA, 46 nt
Filed under: Helianthus annuus (common sunflower)
Lineage: Eukaryota; Viridiplantae; Streptophyta; Magnoliopsida; Asterales; Asteraceae
Description: Histone 3' UTR stem-loop
Rfam family: Histone 3' UTR stem-loop
About the family: The mRNAs of metazoan histone genes lack a poly-A tail. 3' end processing occurs at a site between a highly conserved stem-loop (modelled by this family) and a purine rich region around 20 nts downstream (the histone downstream element, or HDE). The stem-loop is bound by a 31 kDa stem-loop binding protein (SLBP - also termed the histone hairpin binding protein, or HBP).
Source: RNAcentral
CCAAAGGACUUCUUAAAGUCCAUAAAAUUUCCCUUUAAACACCCCU